UACGGAGGGUGCAAGCGUUAAUCGGAUUUAUUGGGCGUAAAGGGCGCGUAGGCGGGCCGUUAAGUCAGAUGUGAAAGCCCGGAGCUCAACUCCGGAAUAGCAUUUGAAACUAGCGGUCUUGAGGGUAGGCGGAGAAAACGGAAUUCCACAAGUAGCGGUGAAAUGCGUAGAUAUGUGGAAGAACACCUGUGGCGAAAGCGGUUUUCUAGCUUAUACCUGACGCUGAUGCGCGAAAGCAAGGGGAGCAAAC
RNAcentral lists this ribosomal RNA (250 nucleotides) under uncultured bacterium. RNAcentral describes it as "partial 16S ribosomal RNA". It matches the Rfam family "Bacterial small subunit ribosomal RNA", at positions 524 to 773 of the family's 1533-position model. The record is from RNAcentral.